RNAcentral lists this ribosomal RNA (713 nucleotides) under uncultured marine alveolate. RNAcentral's name for it is "SSU rRNA". It matches the Rfam family "Eukaryotic small subunit ribosomal RNA", at positions 617 to 1336 of the family's 1831-position model. The record is from RNAcentral.
GGUAAAAAAGCUCGUAGUUGGAUUUCUGUUGAGAACGACCGGUCCAUACAACGUGUGCGUAUCUGGUUCGGUCUCGGCAUCCUCUCGAUGUGCGUCUCUGCGCUUGAUUGCGUGGUACGAAUAUCGGGACUUUUACUUUGAGGAAAUUAGAGUGUUCACGGCAGGCUAUCGCCAGAAUAUAUUAGCAUGGAAUAAUACUAUAGGAUCUUGAUUCUAUUUUGUUGGUUUCUAGGAUUAAGAUAAUGAUUAAUAGGGACAAUUGGGGGCAUUCGUAUCAACACGUCAGAGGUGGAAUUCUUGGAUUGUGUUGCGACGAACUACUGCGAAAGCAUUUGCCAAGGAUGUUUUCAUUGAUCAAGAACGAAAGUUAGGGGAUCGAAGACGAUUAGAUACCGUCGUAGUCUUAACCAUAAACUAUGCCAACUAGAGAUAGGACAUCGUUCAUAUACGACUUGUUCUGCACCUUAUGAGAUAUCAAAGUCUUUGGGUUCCGGGGGGAGUAUGGUCGCAAGUCUGAAACUUAAAGGAAUUGACGGAAGGGCACCACCAGGAGUGGAGCCUGCGGCUUAAUUUGACUCAACACGGGGAAACUCACCAGGUCCAGACAUAAUAAGGAUUGACAGAUUGAUAGCUCUUUCUUGAUUUUAUGGGUGGUGGUGCAUGGCCGUUCUUAGUUCGUGGAGUGAUUUGUCUGCUUAAUUGCGUUAACGAAC